RNAcentral lists this ribosomal RNA (569 nucleotides) under uncultured Alphaproteobacteria bacterium. RNAcentral's name for it is "bacterial SSU rRNA". It matches the Rfam family "Bacterial small subunit ribosomal RNA", at positions 10 to 624 of the family's 1533-position model. The record is from RNAcentral. Lineage: Bacteria; Pseudomonadati; Pseudomonadota; Alphaproteobacteria.
AGUUUGAUCAUGGCUCACAACGAACGCCGGCGGCAUGCCUAGCACAUGCAAGUCGAACGCCAUCCUCUGGAUGGAGUGGCGCACGGGUGAGUAACGCGUGGGAACCUGCCUUUUUCUGCGGGACAACGAUUGGAAACGAUCGCUAAUACCGCAUACGCCCUACGGGGGAAAGGUCCGCCGGAGAGAGAGGGGCCCGCGUUUGAUUAGCUAGUUGGUGGGGUAAUGGCUCACCAAGGCGACGAUCAAUAGCUGGUCUGAGAGGAUGAUCAGCCACACUGGGACUGAGACACGGCCCAGACUCCUACGGGAGGCAGCAGUGGGGAAUAUUGGACAAUGGGGGCAACCCUGAUCCAGCAAUGCCGCGUGUGUGAUGAAGGCCUUAGGGUUGUAAAGCACUUUCACUGGCGAAGAUGAUGACGGUAACCAGAGAAGAAGCCCCGGCUAACUUCGUGCCAGCAGCCGCGGUAAUACGAAGGGGGCGAGCGUUGUUCGGAAUUACUGGGCGUAAAGGGCGUGUAGGCGGCUCUUUAAGUUAGGCGUGAAAGCCCCGGGCUCAACCCGGGAACUGC